This 907-nucleotide long non-coding RNA is filed under the name Homo sapiens (human). RNAcentral's name for it is "HSALNT0132572". The record is from RNAcentral. Lineage: Eukaryota; Metazoa; Chordata; Mammalia; Primates; Hominidae.
GUGAGCUGUGGCCAGAGCUCAAGGAUGAAGGGGACUCCCUCACUCUGUGACUGUGAAGAGGAAGCCUGAGGUGUAGCAGGCCCAGGUCCCAGAAGUAUGGAAAAAAUGAGCAUUUCAUCCCAAAGAUGCAGCCGACUUGAUUGUGGUGGAUAAGCUUUUUGAUGUGCUGCUGGAUUCUGUUUGCUAGUAUUUUAUUAAGAAUUUUUGCAUUAAUGUUCAUCAGGGAUAUUGGCCUGGAUUGAGCAGGCCAUUUCCAAUCCAGCGGAAGACCUUCUAGAAGAGGUGAUGGGUGGGAGAGUGCUGGCAUACUAUGUGAAGCUACUAUUUGGAGUUGGACACGAGUGCAUGUGACCUUGUGCCACAGCGGGAAUCUUGACUACCACACAAAUGAAUCCACUCAAAUGUUGGCAAGUGGAGCAGAGUCCCAGGACAGUCUGCAAUCUCUACAGGUACAGAAACACCCCCAGUUCAAGGAUCUUCACACCUGGAUUUAGGCCUACUCCUGCAACUACCCCAGAACCUGGAAUUUAUAUGUUCAACAUGGAGCCAUCCCAGCCAUGACAACAGAGAAUGUACCACUCUCACGCCAGUUAUCCAGGCAGUGACUUUCAGUGCAGCUACAGUCACCUCUGGAAACCUGCGGAGACUUUAAAAAUUUCCAGAAGGUCAGGAAUUUUUGGAGACCUUUCUCAUGGCUACAUUGCCUGCAAAGGUGAAUCAAUAAGCUUCUGAACUGACUUAGAAAAUGUUGCAGAGACUCUUGUGAACAGAUAGACCCUCUCCUGCCACUCAGAUAGACGUAUCAGGGUCACACACACCUGAUUUAACAACAUGUCAUUAUCUCAGGUGGGCAACAGACAGCAAUUUAGGACCUAUCCCAGUGUGGAUGAAAGACAUUGAGUUGGCU